Molecule: long non-coding RNA, 1692 nt
Organism: Pan troglodytes (chimpanzee)
Lineage: Eukaryota; Metazoa; Chordata; Mammalia; Primates; Hominidae
Exons: 3
Source: RefSeq, a predicted model, not a curated record
GGAGCUGACUGGGACCAAUCCAUAUCGAAAACCUUAACUAGGAAGUGCAGACAGGAGCCUCCAGAGGAAAACCUCCCCAGAGAGAAGUUUACAGGCGAGAUCCUACUCACAGAGGCUCUUGGGAUCAAGGCUGACAGAAGCUCCAUCUGAAGACUUUUAUACUAUAGAGGCAGAAAAAGAGUGAUGAAUCAAGCACUGGCUUCUAAAGCUUCCGCCCAGAUGGGAAGCAUAUCUCCUCUGCUCACAUUUCCCUGACCAAAGCCAGUCACAUGGCCAUCCUCAGCUUCAGAGAGGUUGGGAAGGCAUUGCCACUAUGUGUCUGGAUGCCAGCAACUCAGAAAUAUUUGCCUUACAGAGACCUCACCAUUAACAGCAUCUACAAGAGAAGAUUAAAGCACACGAUUACUUUACUCACUGUGUAACACAUGAGGAACAUGGACGAGAUGGGAAAAAUGUGAGUGGCUUAACGUCAAGCACUUCAUUAAUGAGAUGAACUCCUGACUUUGGACAGUGGUCCGCUUACAGACGCUGUCUUUGAAACUGCCUGCAGAGCCUCCUGAGAUCUUCUAAUAUGGCUGUUGAAUUGGGGCAUUUAAAAGCUUCUGAUGGUUGCAAUGUGCAUCAGUUUUGGGGGACAGGGAGGUCCCCUCUCUCUCAUUAAGAAGACACAAGCCAGGAAUUUAUGCUGAUCAGACAACAUAAAAAUCAGCUCUGAGAGGAUUGGGUCAGAAAACCAAUGAAGAGAGGUUGGCCAGAAGAUUAAAAAUCAGAAAAAGAGGCUUGAAAUUGCUGAGCUUUCUAAUGAUAAUAAGGUUGCCACCUAUUAUUAUGGCCACUCAUGUUGUCCCCCUGUAUAUGAGAGCUGUGAGAGUAACAAAGUGUUACGUGUCAAGGGUCACAUGAGACAAUCAAUGUGAAAGAUGGAAAGAGAGGGCUGGUGCCUAUCACCUAGGAAUGAUAGGUGAUAUGGCCAAGGUGAUAAACAGUGAGAGGGGGCGAGUGUCUCUUCCUCGGUGGAAGUUGGAGUAAAUGUAGACACGGAUAGAGAACAAAGUCUACUUAUUCAAAACCGAGCAGCCAGGGGAAGAGCAGUCCUCCCACAGUGAACUAUUGAAUUGUGAAUAAAUCUCUGACUGGAGAGAUUCUGAGUUAGGGGGGUUAGCUGUUCCUAUAUUACAUGUGGUAAACUGGCAGAAACAGGUUUAAACCAUUGAGUGGUAGGUCUUUAGGCAGAGUAAAAUUAAUGUGCCCUUCCUUAAUGGCUUUGGCUGUUUGACCAUGUAAACGCAUUUUGAGUGCCACGUCUCUAGCGGAGGCUAAUCACUGGGAGGUAAAGAUGACCACAAGUUGCAGGCAUCUCGGGAUCACAGGUCUAGAGCGGGAGCCUGCAGCCUCUCUGCCAGUUUCCCAUGAGUUAUCUCACUAUUGUGGCUUUAAGACAAUAUGCACUGCAAAAGGAAGGUUAUUUACAUUAUAUAUUUAGCCUAACACUAGGAUAACAUCCUUUGGCAUGGCCACUAUCUGAUGGUAUUUGAAACUGAACCAACUUCCUAUUUCCAGGCAUUAACAAAUGAGAGUCUUCAUGUUGUCUAAUGUUAUUUCCUGAGUUUAAGACUGAUUUCUUUUCCCCAAUUCAUUCACAUUUCUUUAAAGAAAAGAUCUCCUUUAAACAAUUAAAUUUCCCAGAAUUGU